CCUACGGGGGGCAGCAGUGAGGAAUAUUGGUCAAUGGACGCAAGUCUGAACCAGCCAUGUCGCGUGCAGGAAGACGGCCCUAUGAGUUGUAAACUUCUUUUGUACGAGGGUAAAGGCAGACACGUGUAUCUUUUUGAAAGUACCUGACGAAAAAGCAUCGGCUAACUCCGUGCCAGCAGCCGCGGUAAUACGGAGGAUGCGAGCGUUAUCCGGAUUUAUUGGGUUUAAAGGGUGGGCAGGCGGUAUGAAAAGUCAGCGGGAAAAUUUGGGGGCUCAACCCCGGCGUGCCGUUGAUACUGGUCGGCUAGAGUGAAGGAGAAGUAGGCGGAAUGCGUGGUGUAGCGGUGAAAUGCUUAGAGAUCAUGCAGAACACCGAUUGCGAAGGCAGCAUACCGG
This 396-nucleotide ribosomal RNA is filed under the name uncultured bacterium. RNAcentral describes it as "partial 16S ribosomal RNA". It matches the Rfam family "Bacterial small subunit ribosomal RNA", at positions 338 to 732 of the family's 1533-position model. The record is from RNAcentral.